GGCAGUUGGGUAUCUCAGUGGAUAGAGAACCAAGCCUGGAGAUGGGAGGUCCUAAUUUCAAAUUUGAUCUCAGACUCUUCCUAGCCAUGUGACUGGGCAAGUCACUUAACUCCCAUUGGCUAGCCCUUACCACUCUUCUGCCUUGGAACCAAUACAUAGUAUUAAUUCUAAGAUAGAAGGAAAGGGUUUAAAAAACAACAGCAGCAACAACAACAACAAAAAACCUUGAAUGGGUUCACAAAGGGACAUGCCAAAAAACAAGAACUUAGCCCUUAUUCUGGUACCUCGCUUUAUCUCAGAGGCUGCAUCCUUCUAGGACCUCAGGACUGCCCCCUUUGGAGGUGGAAGGACUAUAAAUCUGACAAUUCUGUGCUCACUUCCAGUGCCAAGAACAGUCCUCAAGGUCCGUGCACAGGACCUGUGGACUCAGGAUUUGACCCAUUCCCUUUCUCCAAGUUAUUUCACUGCUUUCAACUUCCUCCUUGGCAGAUCAUUUAUUUUAGGCUGAUGCAGCUGAAAGUGAAAGGAAGGAUCAAAAUAUCAUCCCAUCCAUAUAGAGAGGCUCCAUUAGCUCAAGAUGUUUGAUAAUCCUCG
Molecule: long non-coding RNA, 594 nt
Filed under: Monodelphis domestica (gray short-tailed opossum)
Lineage: Eukaryota; Metazoa; Chordata; Mammalia; Didelphimorphia; Didelphidae
Description: lncRNA (ENSMODG00000033877.2)
Source: RNAcentral